UGGGGAAUAUUGGACAAUGGGCGAAAGCCUGAUCCAGCCAUGCCGCGUGUGUGAAGAAGGUCUUCGGAUUGUAAAGCACUUUAAGUUGGGAGGAAGGGCAGUAAGCGAAUACCUUGCUGUUUUGACGUUACCGACAGAAUAAGCACCGGCUAACUCUGUGCCAGCAGCCGCGGUAAUACAGAGGGUGCAAGCGUUAAUCGGAUUUACUGGGCGUAAAGCGUGCGUAGGCGGCUAAUUGAGUCGGAUGUGAAAUCCCCGAGCUUAACUUGGGAAUUGCAUUCGAUACUGGUUAGCUAGAGUGUGGGAGAGGAUGGUAGAAUUCCAGGUGUAGCGGUGAAAUGCGUAGAGAUCUGGAGGAAUACCGAUGGCGAAGGCAGCCAUCUGGCCUAACACUGACGCUGAGGUACGAAAGCAUGGGGAGCAAACAGG
Molecule: ribosomal RNA, 429 nt
Filed under: Pseudomonadota bacterium
Lineage: Bacteria; Pseudomonadati; Pseudomonadota
Description: Proteobacteria bacterium partial 16S ribosomal RNA
Rfam family: Bacterial small subunit ribosomal RNA
Source: RNAcentral